Molecule: RNA transcript, 2102 nt
Organism: Myxocyprinus asiaticus (Chinese sucker)
Lineage: Eukaryota; Metazoa; Chordata; Actinopteri; Cypriniformes; Catostomidae
Exons: 8
Source: RefSeq, a predicted model, not a curated record
CAAUUGAGGCGAGCAUGAAGCCCAUGGGUCUGUGACAAAUCCGGUACACACACGCGAAUACCAUAAUGCACGAUUUAUGAACGGAAAAUUCAUACGGAAACGGAGAAGUCAAACGUCCCAGAAUGGCUUCGUGGUCGGAGAAAAUGGUGCAACUGCUGCGUCGAAUGAACAACUUUCAUUUACCAGGUUCCAGUUUAGAGAGCUGUCUACGUUUUGAGGUGGCUGGAGAGCAAGUGGGUUGGGUUCCCCCCAAAGUAGCAUCAAUUCUUGGUCAUUUUCCUUCUGUCUUUAGGCCAUACGGGAGCGCUAUAACCUUAUGCUCCAGUCUUGACACUUUUGAGAGCAGAUCAGUGGCUGUGGAUGAGGUACUGCAGGAGUUGAGGAGAGAGGCAACAUUCACCUGUCUCAUAGGCUGGAGAGAUGAGCAAUACGCAGUGAUGCCCAGAUACUGCGACCCUCCGCUCAUGUAUAUGGAGAGAGCAGCAACAAGUUUAUUUGGAGUGAAACAGUACGGUGUCCAUAUCAAUGGCUACACCCGUGAUUCGAGUGGAAAUCUCAAUAUGUGGCUGGCACGACGGUCUCUGACCAAACAGACAUAUCCAGGAAGAUUGGACAAUAUGGCAGCUGGGGGGCUGGCAGCAGGCUGUAGUGUCAGGCAUACCAUGGUAAAAGAGUGUGAAGAAGAGGCCUGCAUCCCUCCAGGCCUGGCAGAGCAAGCGCGCCCUGUGGGAACUGUGAGCUACACCUACGAAGAUGACGAAGGAGUAUUUCCUGAGUGCCAAUUUGUCUUUGACUUAGAGUUGCCUCUCAAUUUCCAGCCUCACAUUGGAUAUGGGGAAGUGCAAGCUUUUUACUACUACCCCAUUGAGAAGCAUGCAUCGUUUUCAGGUCAGAGAUCUUCUAGUCAGUGAGGAGUUCAAGCCAAACUGUGCCAUGGUGGUUCUGGACUUCCUCAUCAGACAUGCCAUCAUAGAGCCAGACUCAGAGCCCUAUUAUCACGAAUUUGUAGCUGGAUUGCACAGAUCACUAUAAAGACUGACAGAUGGUUAUAGAUUCUGGACAACCUGCAACAGUUUGGUAUUUUUGUUAUCUACCUCCAUUUUUCAUUCUUUUAACUAAUGUGAACUCUUGUUUACUAACACACUUCUAUAAUGUCUGGAAAAGAAAUUAUAUAUUGUACAUGAUCAUCAACAUUUUCAUUCCAAUUUUCAAUCAUAUUUAAUUUUCAUCAACAUAUCAUUGAGAACAGACAUAAAAUGAAGACCCAAGCAAAAUUACCCUAUAAGAAUUUAUUUUUUCAAUACAUUUCAAAUGAGUCUGUCAAAAUCCAAAGAUGCACUGGUAUACAAAAGAUAAUUGAUGCAUCAAAGGCUCUUUUUUUCUUACAAUGAAAUGCAGAAUCUCUCCUAAGAAAUGACUUGCAUUUAAUAAUAUGGCAUUAAACAACUCUCUCAAAAUCAUUUUCGCUACAGUUUUCCUUCUUUAUUUCUUUUAAAACUUUUAAAUUCUAAGAUACUAGAAUUUGUAAAAUAUGCAAAAAAUUAUGUAGUAUAGCCAGUAGAAUUUCACAAAAAAUAAAAAUAAAAGGAAGUACAGGAGAGGAGGUGAACAAUAAAAAUAAAACAAAUGGAGUGAAAAUGGAGGGAGUUUCUCAUUUAUACAGUGAGAAAUAAACAAAUAUUACAUUUAUUUCUGCACACCAAAUAAAAACCUGUCAUGCAGGUAAGAGAAAUAUGUGAAAAUUAGAUGUUUACGCAAAACACUGUCACCUAGUAGAAAACUUGUAUAUAUUGCCAAAAUUGAACAGUGUCUGAAAGUCAACAUAUAGAACUGAAGUCACAUCUGUAGUUUUGCUUUGAGCUCCAAUAGUGCUGAUUAACCCUGUUUUUUUUUGUUUUUUUUCAUUACAGUACAUCAGCAAGCACAUAAAAUAAUCACAAAAAGGUGAAUUUGUAUCAUCAUUGCAUUUUACUUUGAAUUUUAUAGGCAAAUUGCAUAUAUAUAGAAUUCUUAUUGGAAAAAGGAAUUGUAAGACUACAACUACUUCCAACUCUUUUUAACCAGAGACUAAGUGUAAUUUUGACAGGACAGGAGGGCACAAA